UAAGCUAGGAGUCUCAUUAAGAAACCACUAGUUUGAAUUGCCCAAGCAAAAAUCUCAUUGUUUUAGAUCCGAACUAAGCCUUCGUAAUUUGUAAUUUUUUUGAAUCAAAUUAAGGGUUUAUUCAUUGUUUAUUUGAGGUAAAUUCGAAAUUGUUCGAAUUGUGUAAUCAUCAAUUACUGACAUUGGUAAGCGACCCAAAGCGAUUUGAUUAUAAUUCAAUUCGUGACGAUCAUAAGUAGAAAGUUCAUAUUCUUCGGUCAUUGAUAAACAAUUUGUUGGGCAAUACUCAACGCAAUUACCACAAAAUAUACAGAUUCCAAAAUCAAUACUGUAAUUAAGCAAUCGUUUCUUUCGAAUAUCAGUUUCCAACUUCCAAUCAACAACGGGUAAAUCUAUAGGACAUACACGCACACAUACUUCACAAGCAAUGCAUUUAUCAAAUUCAAAGUGUAUUCGGCCUCGGAAACGUUCCGAUGUGAUCAAUUUUUCGUAGGGGUAUUGAAUAGUUACAGGUAAACGAUUUGCGUGGGACAGGGUAAUCAUGAAACCUUGGCCGAUAUAUCUGGCGGCUCGUAUUGUUUGUUGACCAUAAUUUAUGAAUUCAGUUAUCAUAGGGAGCAUAUGUUGAAUAUCUAUAAAAAAGAUUUUAUGCUUGUUUCUUUCUCUUGUUUGAGACAAGUCGUGAAUCUAGGAUAUUGUGGUCUUUUACAAUGAAAGAAGUUGGGACGAGGUUGUCAAUAAUAGAUUACCUAGAGAAAUCGGUAAAAGAAAUUUCCACCCAAGAUUUAAUAGUUGGUCCAUUCUCAGCCUCGGUAAAGUCCAUCUUGUUGCAAUGUGAAUGAACAAAACCAAAUAAGUUUUGGCUAAUGUGAUAAAGAUACCAAUUAGUGUUCCAAAGAAUUUACCUCCUUUAUUUAUGCCAAAUAUCUCAGGAACAAAUAUGUACGGAAUAGACAGAUUCCAACCUCCCAAGUAAAGAACUGUUACAAAUAAUGAAGAAACUAGUAGAUUCAGAUGUGAAGCAAUGUAAAAUAAAUCAAAUUUGAUACCAGAAUAUUCGGUCUGAUACCCUGCCACUAAUUCUUCUUCUUCUUCUGGUAAAUCAAAAGGUAAUCUUUCACACUCGGCGAGAGAAGAAAUUAGAAAAAUGAUAAACCCGAUGGGUUGACGCCACAAAUUCCACCCCCAAAAACCAUAUUUUGACUGCGCUUCCACUAUAUCAACUGUACUUAAACUGUUAGAUAAUCAUAGUCGAUGAACAUCACUGUGCCCAUCGCUAUUACAGAACCGUACGUGAGAUUUUCACCUGAUACGGCUCCUCAGAGGUCACAACUAAAUCUAAGGGCCCUUUACUAUUCUUUAUCUUGAUAUGUUUGUCAGAUAGAGUCAAAAUCUAUUCUAAGGUCCCAAAUCAGAGCAAUGGAAUUUUGUCUGCUGUAUUUAAAACUAAUAAAUAAGUGCUUCUGAAUUUAUCUCAUCUUUUAAGAAUUUUAAUUUUUCUUUGUUGAUUAAUAACCUUAUCAUUAAAUAAAAAAAUGUGCUUUAUAGCAAUAUCACAUAUACAUUUCAACCUCAAAUUUUCAAUUACGAAAAAAAUUAGAGAGUACAUUAGUACAUGAAUCAUGACAAAAAAUUUAUCUCUCUGAAUAGAAAUAAAAAUUGAAUUAUAGGAAAGAAAGAAUAAAAACAAAAAAAGACAUUCCUCCUUUUUCCUUUUUCAAUUAGCUUCUUUUCUUUCUAUUUCUAUUUUUUUUAUUUCAUUCCUAUUCUCCUUUCUUAAAAAAAGGGUCUUUAACCAAAGUAAAAGAUUACUUCGUUCUUGAUAGUUAGUUACUUACUCAGUGGAUAGGAACAUACUCUGGAUCAGAAUCAUGGCGAGUACUUCUUAAUCAUUUCUACGAACGUAAAGCCCCAAUUAUAAUUCCUUUUAUGUAUAGAAAUAUCCUCUUGGAUAACUUACAUCAUCUCAAUUACUAAUCUUUUGUGUAUCUUGGUCUUCCUGACCAUCCACUCAUUUUUUGUUUCAAAAACCUCCCAUUGUGGAAAUCCAUCUAUGGUAAUAGACAGUAAAAACUCCAUAGAGUUGGUCUUUUGAACCCGCUUCAAGCUAUCAUGACAAUUCACGAAUCUUGGGGUAAACAAUCUCUCUUGCUUAUAUUUACUUUUUUCACCAUUUGAUUCUUGUACAUAGGAAAUGAGACUCAACUUUUUUACUGCAAAUUUAGAAGCCGUUUUCUUUCACUCAUAUAACUAUCUGAUUUAGUUCAUCAACUCAAAUGCUGAAGAAAAAAAAUAUAUAAUCAAUCAAAUCUUUUUAUCCUUGUUUCUAGAAAGAAAAGAAUUUGGAUAAAUUUUAGGUCUCACCGAAUCACACGUAGAGAUAUUGAUAACACACAUAGAGCUAAUGGUAUUUCAUAACUAAUUGAUUGAGCAGCUGCCCGUAGACCACCUAAAAAGGAAUAUUUAUUAUUUGAUCCAUACCCCGACAUAAGAAGUCCAACGGGAGCAAUACUUGAAAUGGCAAUCCAAAAAAAAACACCAAUACUAAGAUCGGCUAGAACAAGGUGAUCACCAAAAGGAAUUACUGAAUAACUUAGAAAGAUAGAUAUUACUGCUAUGGAUGGUCCGAUACUGAAUAAACGAGUAUCUCCUGUAGAUGGAAUAAGGUUCUCUUUCAAAAGUAGUUUUGUCCCAUCUGCUAGAGCUUGAAGAAUUCCUAACGGGCCGGCAUAUUCAGGCCCAAUACGUUGUUGUAUUCCUGCAGAUAUUUCUCUUUCUAACCAAACAAUUACUAGUACACCUAUUGUGAUUCCUAAUACAAGAGUCACAAUAGGGACAAGCAUCCAUAUGAUCCCAUAGACUUCUUUUAAGGAUUCCAAUUUGGAAAAAGAAUUGAUAGUCUCUAUUUCUGUUGUAUCAAUUAUCAUUUCAACGAUCAACUUCUCCCAUAAUGAUAUCUAUGCUACCUAGUAUUGUCAUAAUAUCAGCCAAUUUCAUUCUUUUAACUAACUGAGGAAGAAUUUGCAAAUUGAUAAAACCUGGUGGGCGAAUUUUCCAUCUCCAAGGAAAAACGCUCUGAUCUCCUAUCAGAAAAAUCCCCAAUUCUCCUUUUGGGGCUUCAACUCUCACAUAAAGUUCUUGUUUCGACAAUUCAAAAGUUGGAGAAGGCUUUUUACUAAUAAACCGAUAUUCAAAAUCAUUCCAUUCAGGAUCUUUUAAUCUGUCAAAACGUCGCAUUUCUAAAUUUUCGUAAGGCCCCCCUGGAAUUCCUUCCAGAGCCUGUUGAAUAAUCUUUAUGGAUUCUGUCAUUUCACCGAUUCGUACUAAAUAACGAGCUAAUGAAUCCCCUUCUCGUUGCCAUUGAACCUUCCAAUCAAAUUCGUCGUAAGACUCAUAAUGAUAAACUUUAGGAAGAUCCCAUUCUAUUCCGGAAGCUCGUAGCAUUGGUCCCGAUAAACCCCUAUUUAAUGCCUCGUCUCUCCCAAUAAUGCCUACGGCUUCAACUCGUUCUAAAAAAAUAGGAUUCCAAGUAAUAAGUUUUUGAUACUCAGCAACCCCUGUUAAAAAAUAAUCGCAAAAAUCCAAACAUUUAUCUAUCCAACCAUAGGGUAGAUCGGCAGCAACUCCUCCUAUCCUAAAAUAAUUAUGCAUCAUUCGCAUACCGGUGGCAGCUUUGAAUAGGUCAUAUAUCAAUUCUCUUUCUCAAAAAAUAUAGAAGAAAGGGGUCUGUGCACCAAUAUCCGCCAUAAAAGGACCGAGCCAUAACAAAUGAGAAGCUAUCCGACUCAACUCCAACAUAAUGACUCUGAUAUAGCAAGCCCUUUUAGGUACUUGAAUAUUGCCUAAUUGUUUGGGUCCAUUUAUGGUUAUUGCUUCUGUGACAUAGUAGCUAAAUAAUCCCAGCGUGUUACAUAAGGCAAAUAUUAUAUAAUUGUUCGGUUUUCCGCAAUUUUCUCCAUCCCUCUAUGUAAAUAACCCAAUAUUGGUUCGCAGUCGACAACAUCUUCACCAUCUAGAGUAACGAUGAGUCAAAGAACACCGUGCAUUGAUGGGUGCUGAGGCCCCAUAUUGACUAUCAUGGGGUCUUUUCUUGUAGUUGGUGCAGUCAUAAGUUUUUUAACGAUUCAUUCUUCCAUGAAUUACUGAAAGUGAAAAAAAGUUCAUCAAAAUUUAAUCGAAACAUAUAAGUGAAAAUGAAAUAACUCUUCAAUUUAGUCAAAUUAACGAGUUUUUGUCUAUCGAAUGUCUAACUGAUUAAUUAAUUCUUUAUAACGUACUCUAUUUUUUUUUGCCAAAUAAGCUAGCAGUCGUUGACGUUUUCCCAAAAUUUUCUUCAAACCUCACUGAGAUAAAUAGUCUUUUUUGUGCAAUUCUAAAUGUGAAGUAAGUCUUCGUAUCUUAUUGGUGAAAUUGAAUACUUGAAAUUCAACAGAUCCUUUCUUUUCUUCUUGAGAAAUAACUGAAAUUAUAGAAUUUUUUACCAUAAAUGAAUUUCCCCUUUCUUUAUUUUACAGAUAUGGAUUUUUUCAAAUUUUAUUGAUCAGUAAUAAUAAUGCCAGUAAUUUGAACGUGGAAUAUAGACUUAAUUUCUUUAUGAACCUCUAAUUGUAGCAAUUCCAAUAAAUUAAUCAAAUUUCAAAUUUGAUUCAGAUAGGAAUCCAAAAAGGCGAUAGGUACGUUUUUUUUAGUCACAAAAACGAAUAAUUGAAACCUAAAAUCCUAAAAUGAAGAAGGUUCUGUUGAUUCAUUUCUAGAUCUAAUUAAUACCUUAUUUUAUUGAUUUAGUAUUGUCUACUCGAAUUAGAUUCGAAUGAGAUGUAAAACAAGGCAUGUUUGCAUUUAUUUGCUUUCAGUUACUCUAUACGAGACAGGGUAUAUAGUACUAUCAAUUAAUUUUCAAUCGUGGAUACAUAUGUAUCCUUAAGAUACUGAAAUGGCUACCAAUAUUGGUAUCAAACCAAUAACGAUUCAUACAAGCUAAAUCUUCUAAUCGAUAAUUAGACCAAAAAAAGAACUUAAAUUUAAUUAAUUCAUUUUUAUCUUUAUAAAGGGGUUUCCGUUCUCCCAAAAAUUGACUCCAGUUUUUUACAUUGUUUUCGUUGCAAAAUACUGAAUUUCUAUCGACGCUAUUCCAAUUCCAAGAAUUAAAAAAACUUCGAAUUCUCAACCCUCUACGACGUCUAGAGCAUAAAAUAUUUUUAGGAACAAGCAAACCAAAAUGAGUUUUUUCUGUAUUUAUUCUUUGAGUUUGAGGUUGCAGAAUGAAUUCGUCAAAAUUUUUUUUAUCAACAUAUCUUUGUUCUCGGUAUCUUUGAUUAGUUUGGUGUUUACUUUUAUGAACCAAUGAAAUACCUAUGGUUUGAUACAUAAUAAAUUGUCUAUUAUGUUUUACAGACAAUCGAAUAAGUUCAAUAAUCAAUAUCCCCUUCUUCAUCAAGUCUAUAAGAGGUAAAUUUGCCUGAAUGAGCAUUAUAUCCAAACUCAUUUCUCUCCUUUGAAUUGACGAUAUAGUAAUUUUGGUUGGAUUUAUCAGUCGAAGCAGGAGACAAUAUACCUUGAUAUUUUCGAGCAUUCUUUGAUUCAAAGCACCGUUCCAUCUCAAUUGAAAAAGCAAAUAACGUUUAAAGAACAAAUCUAGUUCUGCUUCCGUGUUGCUUUUGUAUUAUUUUUUAUUUUUACACUUUUUUGUGUCUGAUUCCACGUAAUAUUUUUCAAGAUCGGUUUGAUGUUUUGAAAAAAUAGGGCUCAGAUUUCCUUUGUUUUCUAUAUCUGAUCCACGCUCUCUUUGACUUGGGGGUUCUUUUGCUUCUUGACUUUGAUUCUUUACUUUUAUUUUUUAUUUGAUGGUAGAAAAAAGUUUUGGAUUUUAUUUUUACUAACAUUUUUAUUUGUAUUCAAAGUAAAAAGAAGGAUUUUUGCUUGGUAUAAUCCACGGUUUUAUUUUAUAGACAUUAUAAAGUAGUACAAAUUCUGGGAAGAACAAAAAUUCCAGAUUCAAUAUGGGACAAUUAAAUAUUUUUUCAUUCAUUCUCAUCCAAUCAAAAAAGACUUUUUUCGAAUUUUUUUGAGUUUUUUCUGGAUUUUGAUGAGUUCUAAGAUAAAAAAAAACCCUUUUCUCAAUUUUGAUCAAUUAUUCGAUAAUUACUAAUACCAAUUUUAGUAUUUGGAUUACUGUUGGUAUCGAUCUUAAUCCAGGCUUCAAUAUCUCCUUUUUGUCUUAGAGAAAAAUGGAUAAUUUUCCAAUCAAAAUAAUUUCUAUCGAGAUUUCUUUCUCUAUCUAGAAUAUUGCCCUUUCUUAGAUAAUUAUUGAUAUGAAGAUUGCUGGGCAUAUCAACAAAGUUGUGUUUGGACGUGUUGGAAUUAUACGAAAUUUCUAAGUUCUUCUUUACUUGAACUUCAAAGGGUAAUCUAGAAAAAAAUGAGUCACUUUUAUUUUCAUAGUUAAUCGAUUUAUAUGCUAAAAGACCAUAUCCAUAACAUUUUUUUAAAUUAUCUUUUUCGUUUGAUAAUGAAUAGAGUUUCGAAUCAUUUUCUAUUUUUAUUUUGAGCCAUACAACUUUGAUUAACCCUAGUUCGCCAUUUUUUUUGGGCAUUAAUCUAGACCAUCUAAUCUGAGAUAAAUCGUAUUGAUAAUGCCAUCUUAACCAGUUUUUCCAUUGAUUUAUUCGAUAACUCUGAAGUUUCUUAUGUUUUAAUUCUGAAUGAAAUAUUCAUAGUGUUUUAAAAUAGUCCUUUAUUUUAUUCUUAAGGAAACAAGACGUUGUGUUAUAUUGAAGAACAAAUCUAAAUUUAGAAAAAUUAAUAACUUGGGUUUGUGAGAAUUUGUAAAAUACAUAUGCUUGUGACAAGUAGGAUAAAUCACACAAAAUAUGUGAGUUUUUAUUACUAAUAUUAUAAAGUGACUUUAUUAUAGUCGAAAUAAACAUAAAGUGAAUUUUUUUUUAUGAUUAAUUUUUUCUUAAUUUAUUUCAUUAUUGGAGAUGAAUUUCUCAAUCAAUUUGAUUGUUGAUUUAAGAAAGAGUUGUGUAGUAAUUCUAGGAAUAUUAAUGAUAGAUAAAAAUAAAUUGAUGUAUAAUUUUAGAAAAUAAUGGAAUUUCCAUAUUACUCGAGUAUUUCUGCUUUUUAAUAUUUGGAAAAAAAAUUUGGCAAUUCGAAUUUUUUAAUAUUAUUUGUUUUAUUAGGAUUAAUGUCUAUUUCUGGAGUUACUUUGUUUUUCUCUUUUGUAAUUCUUUCUAUUUGAUUUUUGAUUGUACUUGUUCUAUCAGUCAAAUCCUUCAUUUUUGUUUCUAUCAGUGAAGAAUUUGGCCAAUUUCCAAAUUCAAUUUGACGAAAUUAUUCGUUAAUUAUUUGAUUACUAAUUAGAUAAUCUUUUUCUUUUUUUGUUUCAUUGGAUUAAGAUAUUUCUUUGAAUCUAAAUAAUACAAUUAGACUUACUUUUGAAAGUUUUUGUUUGUUUUUUUUUAGAAAUCCAAUACUUUUGAUAAACAAUUUUGUGGUUUCUCUUGAAACUCUUCUAAAUAAUUUUGUUUUCCUUUUAAAAUUUUUUAGAGCUAGAAAAUAUUUCUUUUUGAAUUUUCCUAUUUUUUUUCGAGUUCCUUAAAAAUGGGCUAAAAAAAUGAAGGUCGCUUUCGGGGAGAACCAAAGGGAAGUUCAGCUUCCAUUCCCCAAACUGUUAAAAAACAAAAAUCAUCUUUUUGUUUUUGCUUUUUAAUUAGCUCUCUGCGGGACGGAUACAGUUCAUAUAUAUGCCAAGGUUUCAGACAAAAAGGAAAUAAAAUUUUGAUCUGAAUCCCGUCUCUUAACCAAUUUUUGGGAAAUUCUGUUUCUGAUAAUUGAACACCAUUAUAAGUACAUUUAAUCUGUAUUUCUCUAUUCCAUCCCUGCAAAUCUUCAGAUCAUUCAGGGAGUUGCAAAAAUAACAUAUGUCCGAUAUUUUUGGCUAUUAUCAAUGCAGGUAAUAGAAUAUAUUUUCGAAGAAUUGAUUGAGUUAUUAACAUGUAACCUCUUAUUAUUUGUGCCAAAGGAAUGGUAUCCCAGGCUUCUUCGAUCACUAUCCGUGCUUGUUCCUUUCUUUUGUUAUCCUCUUUUUUGUCCUUUUCUUUUUUCUCUUCUCUUUUUGUUUGUUCUUCUCUAGACUCUAGAAUCUUGAAUUCUCCCUCUUUAUCUAUCCAAUUUUGAAAAAUUGGUUUAAUUAGUUCAGAGAUAUCAAAAGAAAAAAGACGUAGGGGGAUUAUUCUGUUGACAAAAAACGGAGAAUGUACAUUUGCUUGAAAUAGUUUCGGAAUAAAUGUUUUGCACCUUUGAGCCUGCAUAGAGCCUGUAAUUAUACAUCGCGAAAAUAUGAUUGUUGCGAAUAGCUUAUUAAAGCCACUUCCUCCUCAGCAUCCUUAGUCGCCUUGUUGUCAGUAAAAAUAACUACACGUUUGGCUUUUCUUGAACGAAGUUGAUGAUCCAUUGAUGCGCGAUCUUUAAAUUCACCCAUUUGUUUGUCCAAUUCAGUGAUUAAUUUAUAGGACCAGCGAGGUACUUUUUUACUGAUUUCUUUUUUGACACAUGUAAAAGUGAUGGAAAACAAAAAAUAUAUUUUACAUACCCGCCAAGUUUAUCAACUUUUUGGAAAAUGAUAAAAAGAAAGAUACCCCUAUUGUCACUCCAAAAAAUGUUCCCUAAUGAACUGGACACUCAGUGGGUUUCUACCAACAAAGAAAAAAGUAAUAAUCUAAAUAAGGAAUUUUUAAAUCGAUUUGAAAUUCUAGACAAGAAAUCUCUUUCUCUGGAUAUACUCGUAACAAGGACUAGAUUUUGUAAUGAUGAUACUAAAAAAGAAUGCGUGCCUAAAAUGUAUGAUCCUUUGUUAAAUGAACUAUAUCGAGGAACAAUUAAAAGGGGGGUUUCAUCUUCAAUCAUAAACAAUACUUUGCUAGAAAAUUGGGAAAAGAGAGUUAGACUAAAUAGGAUUCAUACUAUCUUUCUUCCGAAUAUUGAUUACCAAGAAUUUGAACAAAAAGCGUAUACGAUUGAUAAAAAACCAUUAUCAACAGAAAUUGACGAGUUCUUAACUUUAAUCAAUGAAUUAGGUAACGAAGCAAAAUCGAGUUUAAAUUUGAAGGGUCUUUCUUUAUUUUCAAACCAAGAACAGAGAAGAGCGAAUUAAGAAAAAAGAACGAAAUUUGUCAAAUUUGUAUUCAAUGCAAUUGAUCCUAAUUAGACAAAAUCGGGAAAAAAUCGAUCUGCUCAAAUCGAUUAUUCUUUAUGUAACAAAAUGGUCGAUUCCAUCGAUUAUAAUCGAAAAGAAGACUCACAAGAGGUUUUUGAAACCAGAAGAGGUCUUGUUCUUGAUUUUCAUUUUUUUUUAUCAAGCAGUUGCAAUUUACAAUUUUCUAGAUUUUCCGUGUUAUUAUUACUCAGAUAAGAAUCCUGAUAAUCAUAAAUUGGACUAUUACUAGUAUUAAUAUUGUUAUAGCCUGUCUCUGUAAGGUGAGAGUUGAAUUUAUCCUUUAUUUUGUCCUUUCCAUUCACUCGGAUUUCUUCCGUUUCAUCGAUUUUGUCCGUAUCCCACCCUUCUUCCGAAAAAAUGGAAGGAGAAGGAUAAGGAUCUUCUUCAGUGGAUCCCUCUUGUUCCUGUUUAGUCCUCUUCAUUUCGGAAGCAGUUUUUUUUCUACAUCUCUUUCUUCCUCACUUUCCACCCUUUCUUCUGUUUUUGAGGCUUCUUUCAGUUUCUUAGUAAGAAUGGGUGAGGGUAUUCUUCCUAAAUAGUAGACACAGGUAAUAAAUAAGAGAAUACUAAAGAUCCGAGCCAUAGAAUUUCUCAAUUCUAAUACAAGGUACUUAUUAGAUCGAAUGUACUUAUUCGAUCUAAUAGAAUGAUUUUGCCGUAUCAAGACUAAUACCAAUCCAAGCCAUUUCAUGAAUAAAAUGUGACCAAUUAACCAACCAACAAAACCACUUAUUACAAAUAAGAUCUUGUUGUUGCAUCGAAAGAGAUAAAUGUUGACCAAUCUGGCUAACAUUGAACUUGGUAAAAUGAAAUGGUUGAAUAAUUGAAAAAUGAGAUUAUUCAGGAAUACACAUUGAAUGCUGAGAUUACGCAUUGAAUUUCUGGUAGUAGAUCCAUAAUCAAAAAAGUGUUUGUGAUUGUUCCAGAAGAAAUGAAACAAAAGAUAUGGUAGAGCUAGGACAGUUAUUGUAUGAGAUCUAACCAAUGCUAGAUGCAGAGGCGCAUAAUAGAUCGAUAUGAACAUCAUGAACUGUCCCGUAAUAAAACCAGUUGGUUUUGAUACCUUUUUCUCGGUUCCUUCUUCCAUAACCAGAGCUCGGAGAAGGAAGAAAUAGGAGGGCCCUAUGGAGAAUGUGGUCAGAAAUCCAUAAUAGAGUCCGACCACAACUACCGAAUUGAUUAUCUUCAUGCAUAAGGAUACUAGAUUACCUAGUAGAAAAGAUUGAAAAAUCAUCACAAACCUCCCCUAUUUCUUUUCUAUUGCAAUUUCUGGAUUAUUAUAUGAUGAUUUUUGAACUUUCCAUAUAGAAAAGAAAUAGAAAGAGAUAGACUAGAAACGACAUCUAUUAUGUUAAUGACACCAAAAGAAUAUUAGAUGAAUGGAAUUGGGAUAUGGAUAGAAUAUAAUGAAAUAGAGCCACUUUGAGGUUCCCUCUGAAAUGAGGCAUGUAAGGGAGCCACUACGAAGAAGUUCCGGGAGUUACGAAGGAAGCUUCGAGCUCAUAUUGGUCAUGGGUUGGGAACGGGAAUUGAACUCUAUGAGAUUGAAUCUCCUGUUGUUCCUCAGUAGCUCAGUGGUAGAGCGGUCGGCUGUUAACCGAUUGGUCGUAGUUUCGAAUCCUAGGGGAGAUUUGAUUGAUUCUGAAUUCUUUAAUUCAGAAUAAGAAUAAAGGGGCUCCCUUUGCUCGUUAAGAGUAGGUAACCCGUUCCCUGUCUUUGUUUCUAUUGCAUUCUAUCUCAUUGUAUCACAUUCUGUUCUGUGAGAUUAGAAAAUCACCAUCAAUACCUCGGUCUAGGUCCGAGAUAAUCCUUUGUUCCAUAUCCCUCGGGAUAUUUACAACUAGCCAAUUAAGAAGUCUCAGAUGUACUAGCACUGCAUCUUUGAUACAGUCGUCGAUUCUCCCGAGAGGUCACAAUUGCCGCGAGCAAAGAUAUUAAUGACGAGGAAGGCUUUUUUGUUAUGCUACUAAUACUUGCUCUGCUUUUCUGCCCAAGCCCGGCUGAGGAAGAGUUACGGGGCUAAAAAAAAAUACGUCGAUCGGGCAUACUAUGUGUAAUGAUUCCCCCAUUCACGAUAAAUAAAAAGAUAAAAAGCCAUUCCAUUUCCACAAAAGACCCACACCCAAGUUACAUAGCUUUUGGUUCGCUAUCCCGAUCAUAAUUUUCCUACCCCCAGAGGGAAAGGUACUUCCCUUUUUGGCCGGUUGUGGGCGAGGAGGGAUUCAACCCCCGACAUCGUGGUUCGUAGCCUCGUGCUCUAAUCCUCUGAGCUACAGGCCCCACCCCGUCUCCACUGGAUCUGUUCCCGGGAGUACCCUCAAAAAAAGGAACCUUUCCUCUCCCCAGCCAUUUAGGGUUAAGAAGAUGUGAAAGUGCGUUUAUCUCUAUAAGUUUAUAAGAAGGGUGCAUUCCGAGAUGUGAAGUGGGAGAGAAGGGAUGUCACAAUUGGGGUUUUGAAUAAAAAGACCUUUUUCUUUUUCAUUUUUUUUUUCGUUUUCAUAUUGAAAAAGUAAUAAGAUUGAGAGGUGUUAAGCUUUUUAUCAUCCUGUCGUCUAGCUAUUUUUCCGCAGGACCUCCCCUAGAGUAUCGUCACCGCAGUAGAGUUUAACCACCAAGUUCGGGAUGGAUUGGUGUGGUUCCUCUACGCCUAGGACACCAGAAUAUCGAACCAUGAACAAAGAAAGGCAUGAGAGAAAAGCAUAUUGGCUAGUGAUUGUGAGGCCCCAAUUCUUAACUGGAGGGGACACCAAAGGCCUCUACCCUUCUAUCCAUUGGAUAGAUAGAGAGGGAGGGCAGAGCUUUUGGUUUUUUCAUGUUGUCAAAGAGUUGAAUAAUGGUUUUUUCGUGCCGUCAAACAUUUGAACAAUAUUACACUAUGGAACAAUUGAAGGGAUGUGGCGCAGCUUGGUAGCGCGUUUGUUUUGGGUACAAAAUGUCACGGGUUCAAAUCCGAUCCUAUUUCAGUGGGAACUUGAUGAGUCGAUCCACCUACACGUCUUUCUUUUACUGUUAUAAUGGGAGUUACUCCACGUAUUGCUUGAUGUAAAACGGAUAGUGGAGUUGUUUAUAUAUAUAUAUAUAUAUAUAUAUAUAUAUAUAUAUAUAUAUAUAUAUAUAUAUACAUAUAUAUUAGGGUUUAGGGUUUAGGGUUAGGGUUUAGGGUUUAGGGAAUUUGUGAGUCUCAUUUUACUCAUUACCACACAUCUGUGGAAAAACUGUUUGGACAUACUUAAAAGGAUAAGACAGAUACCAGACUACAAGGACAAUAAUGCAAGAAAAGGAACAUCAUUUCACGUGACGAUGAGGCCCAGAAGUGUACUCGGCUGAGAUGAUAAGAUUCUCUUUCCAUUUGAAAUCCGAAGUUUGAAGUCCGAAGACCUCUAUAAAAGCAGGCAUUAUCAAGAGAGGAACAACAAGAAGAAGAAGAAGAAAUCCCUAGCAUAAAAAAAAUGUCAGAAAUCCCUUUCCAAAAAUCCAUAUAUAUAUAUAUAUCCAUUUUUUAUAAAAAAUCAAAAAUGAAGAAUUUCGUGACUUUAUUGACCUGACCAGGAAAAAAAGCAGUUUUUCUAUUUUUUAUGAUACUUUGAAAUCCAGGCUCCGUUUAGAAAAAACCCAAUUGGAUUGGUACGAUAUCUAUGUAAGAUAUCUAUGAAUGGGUUCGAUGUACUUUUAUCUUCAACGACUGGCCCAGCAUUCAAUGCGGGUCAAAGCAUCUGGUUGCCGGGUUGGCUAAAUGCUGUUAAUGAAAUGAAAAAGAUUUCUGCAUAUACGCCCAAAUCGGUCAAUAAUAUUCCUAUUUCAUCAUCAAAUUUUUUAUAAGAUAAGUUGAUUGAAGAAGUUUUUAUUUUUGUUUCUAAUUGGUCAGGAGCUCUUUCGAGAAAAAGAGCCGAUUGUAUGGGAAAUCCUUCAAGAAGUAAUGCAGGGACACAAUUA
RNAcentral lists this long non-coding RNA (13150 nucleotides) under Solanum melongena (eggplant). Its description in RNAcentral is "long non-coding RNA (SMEL_LNC000219)". The stretch from base 10778 to 10845 matches the Rfam family "tRNA". The record is from RNAcentral. Lineage: Eukaryota; Viridiplantae; Streptophyta; Magnoliopsida; Solanales; Solanaceae.